UUACCUGGGCUUGACAUCCCGUGUUACCCCUUGUAAGAGGGGGUUCCCUUCGGGGACACGGUGACAGGUGUUGCAUGGCUGUCGUCAGCUCGUGUCGUGAGAUGUUGGGUUAAGUCCCGCUACGAGCGCAACCCCUGUUCCUAGUUACCAGCGGUUCGGCCGGGCACUCUAGGAAGACCGCCCGUGAUAAGCGGGAGGAAGGUGGGUACGACGUCAAGUCAUCAUGGCCCUUACGCCCAGGGCUACACACGUGCUACAAUGGCCGGUACAAGUGGGCUGCGAAGCCGCGAGGUGGAGCCAAUCCCCAAAAGCCGGUCUCAGUUGGGAUUGGAGUCUGCAACUCGACUCCAUGAACCUGGAAUCGCUAGUAAUCGCGCAUCAGCAGUGGCGCGGUGAAUACGUUCCCGAGCCUUGUACACACCGCCCGUCACAUGACCCGAGUCGGGUGCACCCGAAGUCGCUGACCCAACCCUCGGGAGGGAGGCGCCGAAGGUGUGCUUGUAAGGGGGAUGAAGUCG
This 518-nucleotide ribosomal RNA is filed under the name uncultured organism. Its description in RNAcentral is "bacterial SSU rRNA". It matches the Rfam family "Bacterial small subunit ribosomal RNA", at positions 971 to 1488 of the family's 1533-position model. The record is from RNAcentral.